GACAUUUUUUAUUAAAAACAUUAAAGUUUACAUGACUAUUUUUUAAAAUUUUGUGAUGUUGGUGUCCUUUUCCCUUGGUAUUAUUGCCAAUAUUUAAACAUGAUAAUUUUGCUAAUGUCCUUCCGAAUGGGUUACGAAUAACUAAUUAGAGCUUUAACCCACCGAACUUCUGGGUUGUGCAGGCGAAAAAUGGGAGGUUGGGCACUAAUAAAUCUGAAAACUCAAAUCGCAAUUGAUUUUUCUAUGCCUGAAAAUAGAAAGACGAGCAGGUACAAGAUUGGUCACUGGUAGGGUUGGCAAUGGGACGGGAUGGGAUGGGAUUUAUCAAUCCCAGACCCAUCCCGUAUAUGCAAAUGGGAUGAAAAAACGUCUCAAUUCCGUCUCUAUAUUUUUUUUGGGACAAAAAUCUCGUCCCAAAAGAGAUGGGAUUCUGCGGAAUCCCAUCCCAAUUGAAAAAAUUUCCAUUCUUAAUCGGUAAUGAGAUGAGAUGAGACGAAAUUUGUCAAUCCCACUCCCGUCCCGCAUAUGUAAUUGGGAUAAAAAUAUAUAUGUAUUGAAUUGAGACGUUUUUUCCAUAUGUAUUGGCAAUAUGCAGCACAUGCCGUGUGGGUGCAAUCAGUCUCAUUUCUUUGUACUUAACAAAGCUGCCACCACUAAUGGGCCUUUGGUUCAAUGGGAGAAACCUUGCACUUACAAUGUUGAGUGCAAGGGUUCGAGCCUCCAUAAGAGUCUCCAUAAGAGCAUUAUGGAGGUUAGUUUCAGUUCUUCCUCAAUUAUCAAUUAAUUGAGUGGAGACAGUCUCUCCCUUACGAAAUGUGAGUGGAGCAGGCACCCCUCGAAUAUUAGAGAGGGUUUAAAAUAUCUGGGCAUAUAUUUCAGUGUGUCAAUGUAUGAUGGUGGUCCCAGUUAUAUAGUAUGAUUGUAAAUAUUAAUUGUAAUGUCUGAUGUAAUGUCAGUAAUAUCUGUGUAUAACAGACUUCAAAAAAUAAAAAAAACAAAGCUGCCACCUGCCAAUUCCCAAUUUGGUUUGCUCAAAUCGGUCCCUCGCUCCUUUCCAGCUUCAAUCACAUAUUCACAUCACCUUUCACGCCAGCAGCAGCAGGUCAAUCAUGCCACUCUCUUGAAUUAUUUUAUCACGAGCCAACUCCCCGCACCCAGAAUCUCAAUCUUUAGCAUUUUUUCUCUUGAAUUAUUUUAGCUUUUUUAUUAACCCACGUGGCAAAUGAAAGCCAAUUUGUGACUUUUUGUGCUCGGCUGGGUAACUGGGUUGUGGCCUGUGGGUCCUUUUAUUUAUUUAAUUAAUCAAAUCAAAUGUUUUUAAUUUAGAAUGUUUUUUAUUUAUUAAUUUCACAGGUGUGCCUGUGGCUAGAGAUAGCAAAAUGGAUCAUCAGAUUGUAUUCGUGUCAUAUCAAUUUU
This 1416-nucleotide long non-coding RNA is filed under the name Citrus x clementina. RNAcentral describes it as "Citrus clementina (C. clementina) long non-coding RNA (CCLE_LNC003047)". Lineage: Eukaryota; Viridiplantae; Streptophyta; Magnoliopsida; Sapindales; Rutaceae. The record is from RNAcentral.